RNAcentral lists this ribosomal RNA (649 nucleotides) under Choerophryne sp. MZB11978. Its description in RNAcentral is "partial 16S ribosomal RNA". The stretch from base 1 to 461 matches the Rfam family "Bacterial large subunit ribosomal RNA", at positions 599 to 1301 of the family's 2925-position model. The record is from RNAcentral. Lineage: Eukaryota; Metazoa; Chordata; Amphibia; Anura; Microhylidae.
UCGUACCUUUUGCAUCAUGGUCUAACUAGUAAAACCAAGCAAAGUGAAACUUAAGUUUGACUUCCCGAAACUAGACGAGCUACUUUAAAACAGCCUUAUGGGCCAACCCAUCCCUGUUGCAAAAGAGUGGGAAGAUUUUCAAGUAGAGGUGACACGCCUACCGAGCCUAGAGAUAGCUGGUUAUUCAAGAAAAGGAUAUAGUCCAAUUUUAAGCCUCCCCAAAUCACUAAAUACACCACCAGCUUUAAAAUUUAUUCAAAUAAGGUACAGCCUAUUUGAAACAGGAUACAACCUAUUCAGCAGGGUAAUGUUCUGCCCACAUGAUUAAGUCGGCCUAAAAGCAGCCACCUUUCAAAAAGCGUCACAGCUUAAUCAUACAGCAUCACUAAUUACUAUUAAAACUCAAAACCCUCCCCCUCUACUGAAUGAAUCUAUACCCAUAUAGAAAACCUUAUGUUAGAACUAGUAAUGAGAAAAUUUCUCCCUAAAGCAUGUAUAAGCCAGAAUGAACCACUCCCUGGCACUUACCGCCAUAAACAGUAUUAACCCCACAAGAAAAAUUUACUCUUUCUAAUCGUUAACCUUACACUAGAGCUUUACCGGAAGAUUAAAAAAGGGGGAAGGAACUCGGCAAAAAAUAACUCCGCCU